Long non-coding RNA from Octopus bimaculoides (California two-spot octopus), 817 nucleotides. Lineage: Eukaryota; Metazoa; Mollusca; Cephalopoda; Octopoda; Octopodidae. The record is from RefSeq and is a predicted model, not a curated record.
GUACCACAACUGCAGAUGACAACAGGGUUGUUUCUAUUCCAAGCUUCAACGAGAUGAAGACCAAACCACGGUAGAUCACCAAGUGGCAAAAGCAGAAUACCAGCCUCAGCAAAUAUCUAAACCGGAAUACUAUUACAGCAGACCAGAUCAUAAUCCAAAUCUGGACUUCUACAGAAAUGAAAGAAAGUCUGAACCAGAUGGUGAUUAUAUAGAAAACAUUCUAGAAAAAUGGUUUGGUGAUUACCAGAAGCUGGAACGUCAUCAUGGCUAUAUCCAGUGGUUGUUUCCCAACAGAGUUGCAGGUUUGAACAGACAGGCUUUCUGUCUCAAUGAUUAUGAGAUUCAGGUAAAUAUUCAGGUAGUGCUAUUGUUGUUGUGACUGGUGUGUGUAUGUCUAUGUGUAUGUGCAUAUGUAUAUAUGUAUAUAAAUAUAUCUAUGUGAGUGUGUGUUUGUGUGCUGGUUGGCGUUAGGAAGAGCAUCCAGCUGUAGAAACUCUGCCAGAUCAGAUUGGAGCCUGGUGCAGCCAUCCUGUUCACCAGUCCUCAGUCAAAUCGUCCAACCCAUGCUAGCAUGGAAAGCGGAUGUUAAACGAUGAUGAUGAUGAUGAUGAUAUAUGUAAAUAGAGUUAGCAGUUGUAGUAACCGACUAAGGAAUAAAAUAUCCAUAUGUACUAUCAGUAUCCGUUACAUGUGUUAUCCUCGGGCAAUGGUGUGCAGGGACACCAUAUAUGUCAAGCACAGGUGACAAUAAUAUAGACAAAAGUUUAUCAAGAGCCAAUGCAAAUAAUUAGAAAACGGAGAAAAAUAUAGAUUAACC